Molecule: long non-coding RNA, 651 nt
Organism: Mercenaria mercenaria
Lineage: Eukaryota; Metazoa; Mollusca; Bivalvia; Venerida; Veneridae
Exons: 3
Source: RefSeq, a predicted model, not a curated record
CGGUUCUCCUACGUAGGUCAUUGGCCACUAAAAGUAACAGGAGUGAUACUAGAAGGUAGCAGGGUACACUUUCGAAUUUUGGCCCCCGUCAAUAUUUGUUAUAAAGAGAACAUCGUGGUUUUGGAUGUCUGUAAAUUAAGAACAUGAACUCUCGUUAACCCGAGUUAUGUAAGAAAUCCCAGAAAAUGUGGUUAAUUUUACUCUCCAGGCCAGAUAUCUAGCUUUAUAGACAUGUGAAGUAAAGGAAACUAUUAUACAUGUGAUAGUUCUAGAUUUAACAAAAACCCGGUCUUCCAGCUAUAAACUGGUGCUGUUCAAGAGAGUAAUAAUUGAGUGCCUAGUACUGUGGUGCACAGGAAAAAAUAAAAAUAUAAAAAGCUGCAACUUCAGUGAGAAAAGAAAACAAAAAAAACAGAACUUGGAUAUAUAAUGAGUUAAUAUACAGACAUUCACUUUAGUAGGACUUAAUCAGUGACUGAAAAAAGAAAAAUGUUUAGAUUUAUAAAAGACUGGAAUCAAUAUUUUACAUGUUGUAGUGAUGAAAUAUUCUGUUAUUAUUUCUUCAGGAAAAUUGCAAACAAUCUUUAAAUCAAGAUUUCUUUUUGUUAAAUGUUAACAAAAUCACAACUAUUUGAAAAUAAAAUAUGUAUU